AUUGAACGCUGGCGGCAGGCCUAACACAUGCAAGUCGAGCGAGCGGCGGACGGGUGAGUAAUGUCUGGGAAACUGCCUGAUGGAGGGGGCUAACUACUGGAACCGGUAGCUACUACCGCAUACCAUCAGAUGUGCCCAGUUGGGAUUAGCUAGUAGGGGGGGUAAUGGCUGACCUAGGCGACGAUCCCUAGCUGGUCUGAGAGGAUGACCGGCCACACUGGAACUGAGACACGGUCCAGACUCCUACGGGAGGCAGCAGUGGGGAAUAUUGCGCAAUGGGCGCAAGCCUGAUGCAGCCAUGCCGCGUGUGUGAAGAAGGCCUUCGGGUUGUAAAGCACUUUCGGCGAGGAGGCGUUACUCGCAGAAGAAGCACCGGCUAACUCCGUGCCAGCCGCCGCGGUAAUAC
Molecule: ribosomal RNA, 406 nt
Filed under: uncultured bacterium
Lineage: Bacteria
Description: partial 16S ribosomal RNA
Rfam family: Bacterial small subunit ribosomal RNA
Source: RNAcentral